UCUUAGUCGGUUUGACGUUUAUCGUCGGUGUCUAGAGCCUCGCCCUUAUCGCAUUCAUCCGUGCUGCUCCGCCAGGGGAGGGCCUCGGGCGUUCGCUUCCCUGGGACUCAGGCAUCUGGCGCACGAGCGGCGGUGGCGGUUAAGGAGGCGAGACCGACCAAGCCCUCGCCACAAGCGCAGGAUCCUACGGUGCGGAGGCCGACGCAUGGGAGGCCGAUGUUGACGCCCUGAUGACACAGAUCGGCUUCGGCUUUGUGAUCGUCUUCACCUCGCUCUCCGGCGUCGGCGCCGGCGUGCGCCAUGUGGUGUCGCUACCAGGGGCGAAGCUUCUGCUGUUCUGCAUGUGGCGUUCUUCGUUUCCUUUUACUGCUGGGGUCGCGAUGACUUCUUUUCCUCUUUUGAUUUGGGUGAGGCGAGUAUCGGUUUUGGUUCCCUUUCAGAGAAAACAAGUGGCGGCGCUGGUUCCUACUCUCAGAAGGCAUGGUGUCGUCGAUCUCUUCAGCGGGCGGGGAGUGUGGUGCUCAGUGCUCUUCUGCUGCGUGUUUGGUGCGUGCUUGGCUGCUUCUUCGUCGGGGUCAGACCUUCUGCUGCUGAUUUCUUCUGCCUCUGCAUCGAUUUCUUUGGGGGGAGGCUGUGAGCUGCGUCGGCUGGUGGGUUUGCAUCCCCUGCGUCCUUCUUCUGCCUGUUCAGAGGUUUGUGAUUGAUUUGGACCUUGCCUGUUAUGAACCAACCAAGCUAGUGUAUACUUCAAUUUCAGUCAGAAAGCUGUUACACCUUUCUGUUUCAGUAUGCACACAAGAGUUCACAUGUUUUUGUUUUUAAUUUGAAAAUAGUUAAAUAGUUAAAACAUUCCCCUGUAGAUCCAUAUUUUGUUCCUGAGUGGUUGAAUGUUUUCAUAAAUUACCACAAAUUUUUAAUAAGCGAAAUCAGGGUGUCUUUCUUUAUAUAGUUUGAUGGUGAGUUUAUUCAUAACAUUUGUACAAGUGUUGAACUUUACUAACGGUAGCUCGGCCCAGCAUAAGAAGAUUCAAUAUACAGAAGAUGGUUGCCAACAAGAGCUUGAUGGCGCGGUGGUUAAAAAUACAACCGACAUCUUAACUCUGUGAGCGCUGCUACACAGACGAGAAACGCCAGACGUUUUUCAGACGAUGCAUCAUAUCAAGCCGUGCAUGUGUAGAGCAAAACUGAACAACGCCGUUCAAUCCCACAUCGUCCAGCGUUCGGCCGGGGUGUUGUCGUCCGCAUAGUAGUUUCGUUCGUCUGUCUCGAUUGGUAUGAAACUAUGAAUACAGAGGUAUAUCAGUCCGCGGUUUAUGUAAUACAAGCAUAUGGGGGUUCCAUGCGGACAUAAGGAAUUCACGACGAUUAUUCUCUAUGUAAUUUGUUGAUAAUUUAUUGAGCAUAUAUAUUGAUUUAACAUCAUUUAGUGGAUAUGUCACCAGUCAAGAUAAUGCUGAAUUUAAGAGUUAGAAGUGAUGCUGAAGAAAUUAAGCCACUCGGGCUACCAUCGGUCCGGUGUCCUAUUGAGCAACACAUGUUGUCUUUUAAUGUAGGACACCUUAAUGGUAAUGUGAUAUCUCUCCAACAUAUAAGUUACUUUUAAUCGAUCAUCUAUUUGUUUGUAGUGGUUUCUUCGCCAUUUGAUAAUAUAAAACAUAUCCUGCAACACCACUCGAAGCACAAAAUAUGCAUUGCAGAGCCGUCUCCAUAGUCAAUGGCUACUUGUAUCUGUAUUUUUUUCUCAUCCAAUCCCUGAGUCAUUAAAAAAGUGAUUCUCACUCAUGAAUGUGAAAACACUUCAGGUUAGACUUGGUGUUACAAACUUAAAUCAUUGGUUAUGCUUAUCUAUUAUACAUUUUUUAGCUACAUUAUAAGUGAAAUGGAUGAUGAUUGCCUUCUGUCCGAAAAAAAGAUGAUUUAAAGCUGCAGUGUGGUUUCCUUUUUGGCUAAUUCAUUUUUGGCUUUGUACAUGAUGUUGAACUAUUUCCAAAGUCAUAUAAUUGAUGCUGAGGACGCCUCCAUUAUAAGUCAUAUAUAAGUGAAAUGGAUGAUGAUUGCCUUCUGUCCAAAAAAAGAUGAUUUAAAGCUGCAGUGUGGUUUCCUUUUUGGCUAAUUCAUUUUUGGCUUUGUACAUGAUGUUGAACUACUUCCAAAGUCAUAUAAUUGAUGCUGAGGGCGCCUCCAUUGAUGGGUGGCAGAGGUGUCUGAUGCGGCAAAGGUUGAUUUCCAUGCCUCCACCAAUGGAUGGAUGGUGACUUGAGGAUACAAGGCCAGAGGCCCAAAGCUACUAAGAUGAAGUUAUGGUACAGUUUGCAGUUUGCUUUAUGUUCCUUUUAUUUUAUUCAAUUGAGUGACAUUGAAAAAUCUGUUCCAUCGUAUCUCUUUAUGAUGGCAUGUUGUCCUUUCGGUUUCACUUCCUGUAAUGUCCGUAAGGUUAGUUUAAAGAGAUGGAGCAUUCUAUUCAGCUUUAAAAAGAAC
Molecule: ribosomal RNA, 2478 nt
Filed under: Triticum aestivum (bread wheat)
Lineage: Eukaryota; Viridiplantae; Streptophyta; Magnoliopsida; Poales; Poaceae
Description: partial small subunit ribosomal RNA
Source: RNAcentral